This is a transfer RNA of 73 nucleotides. It matches the Rfam family "tRNA". From Rfam's summary of the family: Transfer RNA (tRNA) molecules are approximately 80 nucleotides in length. Their secondary structure includes four short double-helical elements and three loops (D, anti-codon, and T loops). Further hydrogen bonds mediate the characteristic L-shaped molecular structure. tRNAs have two regions of fundamental functional importance: the anti-codon, which is responsible for specific mRNA codon recognition, and the 3' end, to which the tRNAs corresponding amino acid is attached (by aminoacyl-tRNA synthetases). tRNAs cope with the degeneracy of the genetic code in two manners: having more than one tRNA (with a specific anti-codon) for a particular amino acid; and 'wobble' base-pairing, i.e. permitting non-standard base-pairing at the 3rd anti-codon position. The record is from Rfam.
GCCCUUGUAGCUCAGUCGGUAGAGCACAUCCAUGGUAAGGAUGUGGUCAGCGGUUCGAUUCCGCUCGAGGGCU